Molecule: ribosomal RNA, 2910 nt
Filed under: human metagenome
Description: bacterial LSU rRNA
Rfam family: Bacterial large subunit ribosomal RNA
Source: RNAcentral
GAAAGUAACUAAGGGCGCAUGGCGGAUGCCUUGGCUCAUGGAGGCGACGAAGGACGUGAUAAGCUGCGAUAAGCCGCGGUAAGGUGCAAAUGACCCUUGACCCGCGGAUUUCCGAAUGGGACAACCCACCCGCGCAAUACGCGGGUAUCACCGCUAAGUUCGGUGAGGCGAACCGGGGGAACUGAAACAUCUUAGUACCCCGAGGAAGAGAAAAUAAGUUAAUGAUUCCCCCAGUAGUGGCGAGCGAACGGGGAAGAGCCCAAACCGGCGUUGUGGCGACGCAUCGCCGGGGUUGUAGGACCGCGACAUUGUACCUUGCGUGUGAGGGGAAGCCUCUGGAAAGUGGCGCCAUAGCGGGUGAGAGCCCCUUAUCCGAAGCACAAUUGGGCAUAGCGGUAUCCUGAGUAACGCGGGACACGAGAAAUCCUGCGCGAAUCCGCCGGGACCAUCCGGUAAGGCUAAAUACUCCCAUGAGACCGAUAGCGAACCAGUACCGUGAGGGAAAGGUGAAAAGCACUUCGACAAGAAGAGUGAAAUAGUUCCUGAAACCAUGCGCCUACAAGCGGUCGGAGCUGCUUAUGCAGUGACGGCGUGCCUUUUGCAUAAUGAACCUACGAGUUACCUUCACCAGCAAGGUUAAGGGCCACAAGGCCCGCAGCCGCAGUGAAAGCGAGCCUGAACAGGGCGACAUAAGUUGGUGGUGGUAGACGCGAAACCAAGUGAUCUACACAUGUCCAGGAUGAAGUCCCGGUAACACGGGAUGGAGGUCCGAACGGAUAAGCGUUGAAAAGCUUCCCGAUGAGGUGUGUGUAGGAGUGAAAGGCCAAUCAAACUUGGAGAUAGCUCGUACUCCCCGAAAGGCAUUUAGGUGCCGCGUGCAGUGUUCUCCCCGAGAGGUAGAGCGACCGAUAGGACGCGAGGGCUUCACCGCCUAUCAAGUCCUGACGAACUCCGAAUGCUCAGGGGACGGUAGCUGCGCAGUAAGGGGACGGGUGCUAAGGUCCGUUCCCGAGAGGAGAAGAAUCCAGACCGCCGUCUAAGGUCCCGGAGUUCUGCCUGAGUUAGUCUAACGAAGUCUGGUCCCCGCGACAGCCAGGAUGUUGGCUUGGAAGCAGCCAUUCAUUUAAAGAGUGCGUAACAGCUCACUGGUCGAGGGUCCGGGCGUGGAUAAUAAUCGGGUAUAAGGCAGACACCGAAGACGCGGGAUAGCAAUGUACAUUAAAAGUAUCGGUAGGGGAGCAUUCCAUCGGCGUCGAAUGCGGCGAGACGAUCGUCGCUGGAGCUUAUGGAAAAGCAAAUGUAGGUAUAAGUAACGAUAAGGGGGGUAAGAUUCCCCCCCGCCGUAAGACUAAGGUUUCCCGGGCAAUGCCAAUCAUCCCGGGGUCAGUCGGGUCCUAAGGCUCAGCCGAAGGGCGAGGCCGAUGGCAGAAAGGGUCAACAUUCCCUUACUGCCGCACGGAGCGACGCGGAGACGGAGGCGUGACACCACCGCGGAGAUACGGAAUUCUCCGUUGAAGGGCGUAGGCGUCGAGGGCGGCAGGCAAAUCCACCGCCCGAGCCGAACCCCGAAAGUAUGCCGUUCCCUUCGGGGAAAGGCAAUAGCGUGGGUAAUCAUACUCCCUAGAAAAUCCGCUAAGCUUCAUCCGUGCGGCACCCGUACCGCAAACGGACACACGUAGUCGGGUAGAACAUACUGAGGCGUUGAGAGAUUCAUGGUUAAGGAACUAGGCAAACUGACCCCGUAACUUCGGGAUAAGGGGUCCUCGUCGCAAGGCGAGGCGCAGAGAAUAGGUCCAGGCAACUGUUUAACAAAAACACAGGGCUGUGCCAACUCGAAAGAUGACGUAUACAGCCUGACACCUGCCCGGUGCCGGAAGGUUAAGAGGAGAGCUCAGAGCAUCUGCUCGAAGGUUCGAAUUGAAGCCCCGGUAAACGGCGGCCGUAACUAUAACGGUCCUAAGGUAGCGAAAUUCCUUGUCGGGUAAGUUCCGACCUGCACGAAUGGUGUAAUGAUCCGGACGCUGUCUCAACCAUGAUCUCAGUGAAAUUGUAGUAUCGGUGAAGAUGCCGAUUACCCGCGAUGGGACGAAAAGACCCCGUGAACCUUUACUGCAGCUUAGCAUUGACCUUGGUCAUCCGAUGUGUAGGAUAGGCCGGAGGCUUCGAAGCGCGGGCGCCAGCCCGCGUGGAGCCGCCCUUGAAAUACGGCCCUUUGGCUGUCCGAGGUCUAACCCGCAAGUGUGGGGACACUGCUUGGUGGGCAGUUUGACUGGGGUGGUCGCCUCCAAAAGCGUAACGGAGGCUUCCAAAGGUGCCCUCAGGCCGAUUGGUAACCGGCCCGUUAGAGUGCAAUGGCAUAAGGGCGCUUGACUGGGAGGCAGACAUGCCGAGCAGGCAGGAAACUGGGGCAUAGUGAUCCGGUGCAAGUGUAUGGAAACUGCAUCGCUCAAAGGAUAAAAGGUACUCCGGGGAUAACAGGCUGAUCCCCCCCAAGAGCUCAUAUCGACGGGGUGGUUUGGCACCUCGAUGUCGGCUCGUCACAUCCUGGGGCUGGAGAAGGUCCCAAGGGUUGGGCUGUUCGCCCAUUAAAGUGGCACGCGAGCUGGGUUCAGAACGUCGUGAGACAGUUCGGUCUCUAUCUAUCGUGGGCGUUGGAGUUUUGCGUGGCCCUGUCACUAGUACGAGAGGACCGUGAUGGACAGACCUCCGGUUUACCGGUUGUGCCGCCAGGUGCACCGCCGGGUAUCUGAGUCUGGAUCGGAUAAGCGCUGAAAGCAUCUAAGUGCGAAGCCGGCCGCAAGAUUAGAACUCCUCAUGAGGGUCGUCCCAGACGAGGACGUCGAUAGGGCGCAGGUGUAAAGGCGGCGACGCCAAAGCCGAGCGCUACUAAUUGCCCGAAACUUUCUUACC